GUGAGUGAAAGCUCACUGUAGAGGCUACAAGCUGAGUGCCUGGUCACUCACCCAAGCACCUCGGGGAAGGUCUGAGACAAGAGCCAACAACUGUCCUUGCAGGACAUCAUCUGAUGCAGGACAUCAUCUGAUGCAGGUGAGCAUGUACACAGAAAUCGUGGGCCAAUGUGAGGUGUCAUAGCAGGAGAUGUUGAUAUGUGCUGACAACUGAUGCGCCCUCACUGGUGUGGAAGUGCUUGUGGCUGGCAGCUGAGUUCAAUGUGUGAGCUGCUGUAAAGCUGCAGAACCCAAUUCAGACUACUCUCCACUCAC
The sequence is a ribozyme, 312 nucleotides long. It matches the Rfam family "Nuclear RNase P". From Rfam's summary of the family: Ribonuclease P (RNase P) is a ubiquitous endoribonuclease, found in archaea, bacteria and eukarya as well as chloroplasts and mitochondria. Its best characterised activity is the generation of mature 5'-ends of tRNAs by cleaving the 5'-leader elements of precursor-tRNAs. The record is from Ensembl.